Molecule: long non-coding RNA, 866 nt
Filed under: Sorghum bicolor (sorghum)
Lineage: Eukaryota; Viridiplantae; Streptophyta; Magnoliopsida; Poales; Poaceae
Description: long non-coding RNA (SBIC_LNC013261)
Source: RNAcentral
GUAUUAGUGUCUAUGUGUGUGAUUCGUUAAAAAAAUGACUUCUUGGAUUGAACGUCUAGAGAGGCCAGGCUCCGUGGGAGAAAAGAUCAGGAUGCCCGCAUACACGGAGCCAAUGGGGCUAGGGGGCUCCAACCGUUUACCGCUGCUGGAACAGUGGAGUUUUUAGUGUUUUUUUUUCUAAUUUUAAACACAAAUAUAUAAGAUAGGAUGAGCUGAGAUAUUUUUUAUAAUAUAUUUUUUGAAUUUUAUUCUCGAUUGAUGUUUUCAAUAUAAAACUACUUCGAGCUAUUAUGUUUUUUAUUUUGAGGGAUUAUAAUAAUGCUAAGUCGAUGUAGCACUUUUGUUCAGCUUUAUUUAUUUUUUUUAUGGCUUUGUCUCUGGAUGCCCGCACUUACUAAAUAGUAUAGUUAUAUUAAUCCUUUUUUACAAGGCCUUUAUUUAAAAAAAAACACUUGGUAUAAGAUUCCUAUGUGCUGCCCGAACGAGAGACCACGGUUUCGGUCAUCAUGACUUUUAUUUCCUACCCUACUAGGCUACUACCAUCCGCUGCUUUCGCAAGAAAAGGCUCUUUCAAAGUUCAAAUUUGGCGUCCGAUGGUCUAGCUUGUACCAUAGAACAUUAAGACCUUGUUUAGUUUCCAAAAUUUCUUAAAUUUUUUUUAAAAUUUUCUAUCACAUCGAAUCUUUGAAUGCAUGUAUAAAAUGUUAAAUAUAGAUAAAACAAAUAACUAAUUGCAUAGUUUAUCUGUAAUUUGUGAGACGAAUCUUUUAAACCUAUUUAGUCCAUAAUUAAAUAAUAAUUGUCAAAUACAAACGAAAAUACUACAGUAGCCAAACCCAAAUUUGUCACCACUAAAUAAGGCGUCC